CUAAUACCGGAUAAGCCCUUACGGGGAAAGAUUUAUCGCCGAAAGAUCGGCCCGCGUCUGAUUAGCUAGUUGGUGAGGUAAUGGCUCACCAAGGCGACGAUCAGUAGCUGGUCUGAGAGGAUGAUCAGCCACAUUGGGACUGAGACACGGCCCAAACUCCUACGGGAGGCAGCAGUGGGGAAUAUUGGACAAUGGGGGCAACCCUGAUCCAGCCAUGCCGCGUGAGUGAUGAAGGCCCUAGGGUUGUAAAGCUCUUUUGUGCGGGAAGAUAAUGACGGUACCGCAAGAAUAAGCCCCGGCUAACUUCGUGCCAGCAGCCGCGGUAAUACGAAGGGGGCUAGCGUUGCUCGGAAUCACUGGGCGUAAAGGGUGCGUAGGCGGGUCUUUAAGUCAGGGGUGAAAUCCUGGAGCUCAACUCCAGAACUGCCUUUGAUACUGAAGAUCUUGAGUUCGGGAGAGGUGAGUGGAACUGCGAGUG
This 478-nucleotide ribosomal RNA is filed under the name Bradyrhizobium sp. RNAcentral's name for it is "bacterial SSU rRNA". It matches the Rfam family "Bacterial small subunit ribosomal RNA", at positions 163 to 675 of the family's 1533-position model. The record is from RNAcentral. Lineage: Bacteria; Pseudomonadati; Pseudomonadota; Alphaproteobacteria; Hyphomicrobiales; Nitrobacteraceae.